UUGUGUUUCAUCUGUGUUUUAUCAACUUCUUUGUCUUCAUAGUUUCCUCUUCAUCCCGGCAACGUUGGUUGUUCCAUACGGUUGGAAGAAAGGUGUUUGUGGGUUUCGCGAUCUAGAACAGAGGCUGGUGAACUAAAGAGGGAGAAUUUGAAAGGCUCUAAGGAAAGCUAUAAUGACGAAAAGAAGAAUUUCAGGUCUCACAGCUGCAACUAUACCAGAUUUGCUUAAAGUUCGUGUUAUUAGAGUAUGGGUUUCUUUUCUUUGGAGGGAGCUAUGUUUUUUGUUCGUCUUUGAUAAAGAGGUUGCUUUAUGGGGACCUGAUCCUCAAACAACUCGGUCCUCCUUAACCACCAGUGUUUCGACUUCAUGUGUGUUUUAAUUCAGCUCCUAGGUAUGUGUAUUUAGGACUUGAUUGUUAUUUUGUUUACUUUGCCUAAACACUUUGAUUUGAAUCAUCUAUUUUCGGUUCAAGUUUCUUAAUUUAGUUCUCUGAGUUUGUUGCCAUUUAAUACUAAAACAUCAUCAUUUUGUUA
Long non-coding RNA from Helianthus annuus (common sunflower), 533 nucleotides. RefSeq lists it as uncharacterized. Lineage: Eukaryota; Viridiplantae; Streptophyta; Magnoliopsida; Asterales; Asteraceae. The transcript is spliced from 3 exons. The record is from RefSeq and is a predicted model, not a curated record.